RNA transcript from Beta vulgaris subsp. vulgaris (sugar beet), 1008 nucleotides. It is a transcript of the gene named coatomer subunit zeta-2, with no coding region annotated. NCBI's taxonomy places the organism in Eukaryota, Viridiplantae, Streptophyta, Magnoliopsida, Caryophyllales, Amaranthaceae. The record is from RefSeq and is a predicted model, not a curated record. The transcript has 7 exons.
AUUUUAAAGCAUGGUUUAAAUAUCCCCAAAUUAUCCCCAAAUUCCCCUCCCUCUCUUUCUCUCUCUCUCCUCUGAUCUCGCACAUUUGUAGCUCCUCUUCACUGACGUUCCAGAUCUCCGAUUCCACCCAGAAAAAUGGCGUCAUUCUCUGUUUACCGAGACUCAUGCCCAAUAGUGAAAAACAUACUUUUGCUUGAUUCAGAAGGGAAAAGGGUAGCUGUAAAGUAUUAUUCCGAUGAUUGGUCCACGAAUGGGGCGAAAUUGGCGUAUGAGAAAUCUGUGUUUACUAAAACCCAGAAGACUAAUGCUAGGACUGAAGCUGAGAUUACAAUGUUUGACAACAACAUUGUCAUCUAUAAGUUCGUCCAAGACCUCCAUUUCUUUGUAACAGGAGGUGACGAUGAAAAUGAACUCAUUUUGGAUGCUGUUCUUCAGGGUUUCUUUGAUGCUGUUACCCUUUUAUUGAGGAGCAAGGUUGACAAAAGUGAGGCCCUUGAGAAUUUGGACCUUAUACUUCUAUGCCUUGAUGAGAUAGUUGACAGAGGGAUGAUUCUUGAGACCGAUGGUAAUGUCAUUGCCUCAAAAGUUGCCACCAGCAGCGUUGAUCCUGCUGCACCCUUGUCUGAACAGACCAUAUCUCAGGCAUUGGCUUUGGCUCGUGAGCACUUGACAAGAUCCCUUUUGAGCUAAUCUUUACAUGGAAAUUGUCAGCCGUCAUCUACUCUAUUUUUGAUUCUUCACCAGUCCCCAGCUUAAUGUAGUCAAUUGCUGCGGUAUAUCUCUGUGGCUGAUUUUCCUGGUGAUGUGAUCAUGUAGCUUUGCUGAUCAUAUUUGAGCACUUGAUUGAACCGUUUAUCAGUGCUUUUCUAUUAGUAGAUUGUUUUGCUUUUCUUCUUAGUGAAACCUUGAAGACCUUCGAUUUGCUAGCCAGAAAUAUCAUCGUUGAUGUAUACUUUUUGUGUAUAACUCGUUAAAUAUAAAAUUUAAAUGCUUUGUUUACUCAAUUUA